RNAcentral lists this transfer RNA (68 nucleotides) under Marmota monax (woodchuck). RNAcentral's name for it is "tRNA.Val". The record is from RNAcentral. Lineage: Eukaryota; Metazoa; Chordata; Mammalia; Rodentia; Sciuridae.
GGAUAUAGCUCAGUUGGUAGAGUGCUUGCCUCACAUGCAUAAGGCCCUGGGUUCAACCCCAAGCACCA